CAGGGCAGGUAGGAUUGGCCACAAUUGGCCUCCCUUCUCUUUCACCCUCUGAAGCCAGUUUCGCUGGGUGCUGGGACACGGCACCUUCAGAACCACAAGGUCUGGCCUGGGCUACAGAGCCACUGGAAACGCUGGGUUCUGUCUUAGGGCGGCACCAGGCUGGGACAUCUCUCAACGGGCACAGACUCCCUGACCCUCUGUUGUAGAUCACUUUCUCCUUCGGCAAAAUGUAGAGCUUUGUGUAAAAGCUAAUCAAGAAAAGUCCUAUGUGUCCGUUUGGUGACCCAAAGAUGGGAUCAAUGGGAAUCUUCCCAUCUAGGUUCACGUCCUUUCAGAAAUUAUUUUCCCUGUUAACCAUCUUGUUGGCCUUCUCUGGCCUGUUGAUAAUGCGCCCCCUUGUGGACUUUCCAGAACAUUCCAUGUGGAAAUUGGGUCCUGCCCCUGACUUCCGUCCUUGACUCCUCAGAAUAAAACCAGAAAGAAGAGGGUGAAGGUGGGUGUCCUCGCACUAAAGGCUUAGGUAGGGCAGAGUGGGAGGGAAAGUGGGUUGCCUGUAUGGUGUGACAAAGGAUCAGGGUACAACUGAUGGUCCCCAUACUCCUUUUAGUCCAUGUCUUGUGUUUUGAAAAGGAUUCAAAGAUCAUAAAGAGAAGGAACCAUUACUUGGUUGCCAUUUAAUCAUGAUCCCGAAUACCUCCUGCAUGCUGGACACCGUGCUGUGUACCGAAACAUACACCCUUGUCCGAGAGACACAAACAGUGUAUUGGAAAACGCCAUGGCGGGUGUGCAGAGGACGGUCUCUAUCUGUGAUGGCUGACACUGUUUGCUGUCUCCCAGACACCAUUUAAAACAUGCUGUGCAUCGUAACCCAAUUAAGUUAUUUAACCUCCCUGUGCUUAAAUAGACCAUCGUCCGCAGCCCGUAGACUUACCAAAACCAACAAUUAACAGCUUAGGUUUUAGAGCAGUGCCUGGCACCGAGCACUCCAGAAGCAUGUGCUGCAAUAGGAAAACUGAAACAAGAUUCAGGAGAACCCUAUGGGACAAAGCACUUUCUUCCCUUUAUUUUACAGAUGGGAAAACUAAGGCACAGGGAGCAUAGUCCCUCAGUAAGUGGCAGAGACAGGAUGCCAACGUGAACAGCGUAGAUCUGUUACACUGGUCUCUUAACCCCUCCAUCACGCUGCUUCCGCUCCAACAUACCCAUCCUUGUACCAGAAACAAUGUCCUCUGCACCUAGAAGAAUGCCUGGUGCCUAAUAGCUGCUCAAGGAUAUAUGCUGAAUAAAGGCACAGAUGAACCAUAGGAAGAGGCACAUCUUGCACGACAGAAGAAGAGGAACCUGAUUCACUGGUUACAUUUUGGAGGCUUUUCCAGAGUAUCUGAAUGAGGACAUGAUGUCUCAUUACUUCCAAUCCAAGUCACAACCUAGAAUUGAGCUGGGAAUAUAGUCCCCAGGCCAGCUGCUAAAGAGCAAAAUGUCA
This is a long non-coding RNA of Acinonyx jubatus (cheetah), 1483 nucleotides long. RefSeq lists it as uncharacterized. The record is from RefSeq and is a predicted model, not a curated record. NCBI's taxonomy places the organism in Eukaryota, Metazoa, Chordata, Mammalia, Carnivora, Felidae. The transcript is spliced from 2 exons.